UCACAUUCCCGUGAUUUUCUAAUCGGAUUAGAACGGUUUCAUGUUUUGGAAAAAAAACUCUGUUCUCGACGGCGAAGAGCACGAGGUGAAAGGCGGCGCGGUGACGGGGGCUGCUCGGUGGCAAGUCACCGGCGGUACUCGCCGAUAGUCAGGCGGUGAGCGGUUUCGGAGGCGAGCGGCCAGAGUCUUUGGCGGUGCCGGCGGCGAGUGGACGGCAGCCGUGGGGUUCGGCGGCCUGCGUUGUGGCCUCGGUGCAGGGAACCACCGCGGGUGGCCUCGGCGGCAUGCGACGCUGCAGGUGGCCUCUAUUUUGUACUCGGAGCCCCACCACUGCUCAGAUCUGGGAGGCAAGCUCAACCAUGGCCCCUUCUGUAGCAGCGCUCGGCUUUCGUCGACGGCGAUAGGCAACCUCGGCAGCUGGCUGCUCGGGAAAAACAUUCCGGGGAUAGCAAGUAAAGCCUGCUCCCGCUCCCACGCCCAUCCUCAACUUACCGCGGCACCAUGGCGUCCAGAAGAUACCACUACGUGCCUGCAUCCGCCGUCCCGGAUCACCUGCGGCACGUUGGUUUCCUCAACGACCGCUAGCCCCGAACAAGGUUAAGGCUCUAGUCUUUUAGCCUCUUCUCCACCCUUCAUUUUUUUUCUCCAAAUCUGGAACUAUGAGCCAUUAGAAUUGGGUGAUUUAGAUGAAUUUUUAUACUAACUGAAGCAUACGAAUGGGGCCUUACAGCUUUUCCAGGAAACAUAUAUAGUGUUUAUUUGGGGAACUUUCCGUGAGAAUUUAGUAUGACUGGCACAUGGAUGUAUGCUUGCACUGUUGUAUGCCUAUUUAGAAGUUAGAACUAAUGCAAAGAAUGGGCAAAUACUAUUUACAUCAAAUGUCUAUGUCCGUGUUUCAUCUUGCAGGUAACAGAGUUGGAAAAUUCACAAUGUAGGAAACGAGGGAAGCUCACAAAGCCCAGUUCUCAUGGAAGAACACCAAGAGAGGAAAGCUGGGAAUAAAUGAGGUAGUUUCAAUCGGACACAUUGGUGGAGCUUCUUCAGAGCCUAAUAAAAGUUUGGGGUCUGCUUGGAGCUAAAAGGUUUUGGUGGAUAUACAAAUUUGUUGCUCUAAUAUAUGCUCUAAGAUAUAUGCAUACAAUUUGGACAGGAGCCCCCUGCCGUUUAUUUAGUGCUCCAUUUUUUCAUUGGCAAGCAUCCUGCCUUGACUAAGUAAAAUAUGUGUAAAGAUUGGCCAAAGUUCAUUGCUCAAAUCGAGUCCUGGUAGCAACAAGGAAACUGUUGAUAGCACCUGAAUAAGGAAGGCCAUUGGCGAACUAGCAUGUCCUAUUUAAGCUGAUAAAGAGGUGGCUGGAUCUGAUAGUGAAGAUGGUCCCACAACGAUAGGAGAAGAGGAGAGGGGAUUUCUGAGGCACAACAAGCGGCUGAUGAAGGUUCUUUGGUCAGACAGGAGUGUGCUCAGCUGGAGGACAUCCUUUUGGAUUAUAGUUACUACUUUGCAUCUCGAUAGAACUAGUUUUAUUUGCGUACUAGUGUUGUAUGUGGUAAAAAUUGAUGGACAAGAUCUGCAGCCUCUCUUGUACGUCCUCUCCUCUCCCAUCCUACAACAAAGGUCACCUCAAUUUGGCGUCUUGUCUAAAGAGUUUGUAAUUAACAUCACCAUCCUGCUUGUAAGCUCCCGGGAUUGGCAAUUAUUGUGAAGUACAAAAUCUAUAUAAUUUGUACUUCACCAUC
Molecule: long non-coding RNA, 1734 nt
Organism: Triticum aestivum (bread wheat)
Lineage: Eukaryota; Viridiplantae; Streptophyta; Magnoliopsida; Poales; Poaceae
Exons: 4
Source: RefSeq, a predicted model, not a curated record